GGGGUUAUAGUUAAUUAUAACAUUUGAUUUGCAUUCAAAAAGUAUUGAUAAAACAAUUUAUCUCA
RNAcentral lists this transfer RNA (65 nucleotides) under Micadina brachyptera. RNAcentral's name for it is "tRNA-Ala". It matches the Rfam family "tRNA". From Rfam's summary of the family: Transfer RNA (tRNA) molecules are approximately 80 nucleotides in length. Lineage: Eukaryota; Metazoa; Arthropoda; Insecta; Phasmatodea; Lonchodidae. The record is from RNAcentral.